AUUGAACGCUGGCGGCAUGCCUUACACAUGCAAGUCGAACGGCAGCACGGGAGCGAUCCUGGUGGCGAGUGGCGAACGGGUGAGUAAUAUAUCGGAACGUGCCCAGUCGUGGGGGAUAACGUAGCGAAAGCUACGCUAAUACCGCAUACGAUCUAUGGAUGAAAGCGGGGGAUCGCAAGACCUCGCGCGAUUGGAGCGGCCGAUAUCAGAUUAGGUAGUUGGUGGGGUAAAAGUCUACCAAGCCUUCGAUCUGUAGCUGGUCUGAGAGGACGACCAGCCACACUGGAACUGAGACACGGUCCAGACUCCUACGGGAGGCAGCAGUGGGGGAAUUUUUGGACAAUGGGCGCAAGCCUGAUCCAGCAAUGCCGCGUGCAGGAUGAAGGCCUUCGGGUUGUAAACUGCUUUUGUACGGAACGAAACGGCUCUUUCUAAUAAAGGGAGCGUAAUGACGGUACCGUAAGAAUAAGCACCGGCUAACUACGUGCCAGCAGACGCGGUAA
This 503-nucleotide ribosomal RNA is filed under the name uncultured bacterium. Its description in RNAcentral is "bacterial SSU rRNA". It matches the Rfam family "Bacterial small subunit ribosomal RNA", at positions 30 to 523 of the family's 1533-position model. The record is from RNAcentral.